GGCUCUUCUUCUUCCUUUCCUCUUUCUUCCCUUUCUUUCCUACAUCUAAUUCCCCAAAUUCUACAUCAAAAACCUAGGAAUUGGAUUUAAGACUCUCGUCUUCGGAUGAGACUUUCUCUCUCUAUAUCUAUAUCUGUAUCCACACACACCAGAGCUUCAGUUUAGGCACCAAAACCAACGUAAACAUAAAAAAACACAACCCCAAAACAACAAAUCCCAUGUUCUCUAGAAUCUUGUAAAAAAAAAA
Molecule: long non-coding RNA, 247 nt
Filed under: Salvia miltiorrhiza (redroot sage)
Lineage: Eukaryota; Viridiplantae; Streptophyta; Magnoliopsida; Lamiales; Lamiaceae
Description: long non-coding RNA (SMIL_LNC013470)
Source: RNAcentral